This is a long non-coding RNA of Vicia villosa (hairy vetch), 431 nucleotides long. RefSeq lists it as uncharacterized. The transcript is spliced from 2 exons. NCBI's taxonomy places the organism in Eukaryota, Viridiplantae, Streptophyta, Magnoliopsida, Fabales, Fabaceae. The record is from RefSeq and is a predicted model, not a curated record.
AGUUCCAAACCAAUCUCUCUUAUUUUUUCCUAUUAGCGAUGCAUCUACAUCGUCAUCUCGAGUUAUGCGGAUUGAUUGGUUCUUUGUAGUAUUUUGAUUUUCUUUAUGCUUUGAAUUUCAGGUGGCGAUUCGUUUCGAUUUGGGUUUCUCUUAUUAAGCUAAUUGUUCAUAAACGCUAGACAGUCAGAGAGGAAUUUACUCGAAUGAUUUACGGUUAAUCUGCGGCGUCGGAUCAGGCAACACAAUUGCUCGAUCUGAUCUUAUGUUUGUUUCUGGUACCGAAAAGUAUUUUAAUUAGUUUAUGUAAUUGAUGAUUUUGUGUGUUGUAUGUAGGUAAUUUUGUAGUAAAGUCGCUGCAAUGUUUGACAGCGAUGAUGAUAGUAGUGUGACUUCGUCGUCGACUACUCGAACUGAUCUUAUGUCUGUUUCUG